GAUGAACGCUGGCGGCGUGCCUAAUACAUGCAAGUCGAGCGAACGGACGAGAAGCUUGCUUUUCUGAUGUUAGCGGCGGACGGGUGAGUAACACGUGGAUAACCUACCUAUAAGACUGGGAUAACUUCGGGAAACCGGAGCUAAUACCGGAUAAUAUUUUGAACCGCAUGGUUCAAAAGUGAAAGACGGUCUUGCUGUCACUUAUAGAUGGAUCCGCGCUGCAUUGGCUAGUUGGUAAGGUAACGGCUUACCAAGGCAACGAUGCAUAGCCGACCUGAGAGGGUGAUCGGCCACACUGAAACUGAGACACGGUCCAGACUCCUACGGGAGGCAGCAGUAGGGAAUCUUCCGCAAUGGGCGAAAGCCUGACGGAGCAACGCCGCGUGAGUGAUGAAGGUCUUCGGAUCGUAAAACUCUGUUAUUAGGGAAGAACAUAUGUGUAAGUAACUGUGCACAUCUUGACGGUACCUAAUCAGAAAGCCACGGCUAACUACGU
Molecule: ribosomal RNA, 496 nt
Filed under: uncultured bacterium
Lineage: Bacteria
Description: partial 16S ribosomal RNA
Rfam family: Bacterial small subunit ribosomal RNA
Source: RNAcentral